GAAACCUCCAGACGAUAGAGAGAGCCGUCUGGAAGAUUGAAAAAUUCGAGAACGCAUUAUCGUUUUUAUACAUAUUAUAUGGGGACUGUUCUCAGGACAAUUUCGGAAAAAGAGAUCCGGCAAUGGCAUAAAGGCUUCUUGAAGGAUUGUCCAGACGGCCUCCUUACAGAGCAGGGGUUCAUCAACAUAUACAAGCAGUUUUUCCCGCAGGGCGACCCGACCCGGUUCGCCACUCUCGUGUUCCGGGUGUUCGACGAAAACAAGGACGGCAGCAUCACGUUCGAGGAGUUUAUCCGAGCGUUAUCCAUCACGUCAAGAGGAAGUCUGGACGAAAAACUACACUGGGCGUUCCGGCUGUAUGACGUCGACAACGAUGGCUUCAUCACGCGCGCCGAGAUGUACAACAUUGUCGAGGCCAUCUGCCAGAUGGUGGGCCAGCCGAUAGACGGCGAGAAGAGCUCACAACGCGUGGACAAGAUCUUCGACUCGAUGGACAAGGACAACGACGAAAAGCUGACCCUGGAGGAGUUCAAGGAGGGCUCCAAGGCCGACCCUCGCAUCGUGCAGGCGCUCAGCAUCUGCGACUCCAACAACUGACAGUCGUCGGGCGGCGGGCGGCGCGAGUACCUCUGACCGCCCCCGCCGCCGCCCCCGCCCACCGAGCCGCCGCUGUGCCACCGGCCACGGGUGGUCUGUGGCCUCGGCUGAGGUCGGCCGGCUGACGUCUACUUUGCACUGAGGGCCGGUCUGUGGCCUCAGCUGAGGGCUGCCUGACGGCUCUGGUGGACUGAGGGCCGGUCUGGGGCCUCGCCUGAGGUCGGCCGGCUGACAGCUCUAGUGUGGACUGAAGGCCGGUCUGUGGCCUCAGCUGAGGAGGGCUGCCUGACGGCUCUGGUGUGGACUGAGGGGUCAGUCGGCGAAGCGGGAACGGUCAUGGACAGGGGCAAAUAUGCCAAAUGCCAGCGAGAUUCGAUCGGGUUGUGGCGCAAAGACAGUGACAUCGCUGAGGGCAAGUGGAAGAAUGUAGCCGAUAGCAGACUGUGAGCGGGCGGACAGCUCAGAGGGGUACUGAGCGGCGGGCGGACAGAUCAGCGGGACAGUGAGCGGAGAGGGGACAGCUGGGACAGUCAGCGGGAGGAGGACAGUGCACAGCGGUCUUGCAUCCUGUGACGGUGCCGAUGGUGAGAGGACAGUCAGCGUCCGGGUCGCCGGCCCCAGUCCGUCAGCAGUUUUCUGACUGUAUAGCAAAUUGCGACGGCGGGGAUUAGAGGCACGCGCCGAAAUCCAAUUCACGCGAGUGUUCGCGCCAAUGACAGACGAGUGUGUGUCUUAUCGCUACACUGGAGAUCAACAGCUGGGAGAGGAGCGCAAAGAGUGUGAGCUGAGGGCAGACGUGCCGUGUCUAGUAACCUGCGCCGUCAUCUGUUGGAGAGAGUGGGUGUCAGCCCGGCGCUGUCUUGAGUGUCCUGUUAGACGACGAGCAGUGAGAGCUACCGGCUUAAUCGAGUGACAUGCCUCCUGAGACCCCGUGACGAAAGGCGCAACCUGCGGGACGUGCCCAGCAGUGUGUUAAAACCUGUCCGGUAUCAUGACCUCAGUCAUGCUGUAACAAAUCUUCUUGCUAUUCCAUUCCGAUGUUGACGGGAAGUUUGCUGGCGGCGCUGUGUUCCCGCAUCUGUCUACGGUCGGUGAGCCACGCCGCUUCUCGUGGCCGUUAUGCAUGGCGGGUCAUUCUAUCCGAUACAGCAAUGUGGAUCAGUUUCGGUGUGGCGAUGAACGAACAUCGUGCCUCGGCGAUACGAGUAGACGAGGCACAUCGCUUACUUUUGCAGUUGGAGGAGUAGAAAUUUGGCAAUACGCCCUAUAUAUUAGAGCUAAAUGUAUUUGAACAUUUCAUAUGAUGAAUAAAAAUAUUGAAGAAUGAAGUAAAUGCA
Molecule: unclassified non-coding RNA, 1934 nt
Filed under: Amphibalanus amphitrite
Lineage: Eukaryota; Metazoa; Arthropoda; Thecostraca; Balanomorpha; Balanidae
Description: frequenin-1-like, transcript variant X5
Source: RNAcentral